RNAcentral lists this microRNA (21 nucleotides) under Oreochromis niloticus (Nile tilapia). RNAcentral describes it as "oni-miR-10704". The record is from miRBase by way of RNAcentral. Lineage: Eukaryota; Metazoa; Chordata; Actinopteri; Cichliformes; Cichlidae.
UACGAUGUAUGUUCCUCUGCU